RNAcentral lists this long non-coding RNA (8451 nucleotides) under Chlamydomonas reinhardtii. RNAcentral's name for it is "long non-coding RNA (CREI_LNC001144)". Lineage: Eukaryota; Viridiplantae; Chlorophyta; Chlorophyceae; Chlamydomonadales; Chlamydomonadaceae. The record is from RNAcentral.
CCGCUUACGGCUGGGCAGCGGCGAACAGAGGGCAGCUGCAAAGCAGAAUGAAAAAUGGAGGGACAAGAUCAGAACCACAACCGAAGGCGUGUCGAGGGGGGGCACGGCGCAACCCAUAGCUAGCCAUUUCUACAUGCCAUGCCAACCCCAUAGCAGCACACAGUACUGCUUUUUAGACAUUAGGACAAGCAAACCUCAAGCAGUCACAUCCCAACUCACCAGUUCUUCGUGUCGUCAAACACGUUGCCCCAGCACACGCCAUCGUUGGCAGGCAGGCAGAAGUCCGACAGGGGGGUGUCGUUCUUCAGCUCCAGGCAGAUCUUGCCGCCAUUCGCCUGGUCCUUGCUCCAGUUCAGGGGGGUAGCCUUAACGGUCUGCUCGUCCACAGCGCCCCAGGUGGCGGACAGCCACUUGCCGGUGCCGGUCUUGGGCUGCACGUACACGCCGGUGAUGGCGCGGCGCUUCUUGUCGUCGGCGUAGAACUCGGCCUUGAGCAGGCUGGUGCUCCGGCCGCAGGGGCUGGUGGCGCUGUUGGGGGUCACCAGGGUGAUGCUGAAGCAGUAAGCAGUGGUGUCCUUGGUGCGGCCGGCCAUGCUCGACAUCGCGGGCGCAAUGGCGAAGGGGGUGGCGCCGGGAGUGGUGACGCACUGGCACUUGGGGAAGUCGGGGGUCUGCAGGGCGCAGGCGGCCGAGGCCUGGGCGUUGAUGCACGACUGGGGCAGGCCGGCGACGGCGUCGCCCAUGCCGCCAACAGAGACGACCACGGUGUAUCCGGCCAGGGCGGGGCGGCAGCCCUGAGUCACCAUGUCCAGCCAGAAGUUGAUCUGGGUGUCAACGAAGCUCUGCAGCUUGGCGCCCUCCUCGUUGGAGAAGAAGGUGGCGCACACCAUCACCAGGUUGCCGGCGCAGCUGGUGGACCCAGGGGUCACGGUCACGCCGAGGUCGGAGGCCUGGGUGGCCACGUCGUCCUGAAUGGUGGCGAUGUAGCCCUGGCACUCGUCGUUGCUGAUGGAGUAGGGGAACAGAACGCGGCUGGCGUCGCUAACGGUCAGCGAGAUGUAGACGCAAACCUGGCAAGGAGGAGGGGGGCUGGGGGGAGGAGGGCUCGGGAUGCCGGGCGUGGAGAUAGGGCAGCAGUCGUUCUGGCUGUCGAACAGCGCAGCCGAGCACACACCCUUGGGCAGGCCAGGGGGAGGAAUGCACAGCUCCUCAAGGGUGGUGCAGCCCUUGCCGUUCUUGUUCAUCGACAGGGUGAUGCAAAUCUCAGCACCGUCGCUGGCCAGGCCCAGGCCCAGCUGGGUCAGGACCAGGGUGGUCGAGCCAACGGGGCCAUCGGUGGGCUCGUGGAACGAGACACCGACCUUGGUGGGCACGCCGUUGAUGGUGGCCUUCACCACCUCGCCGAAGACGUCGCACGCCUCGUAGACGUUGAACUGUGUACAUCAAAAUGAGGAACAAACUCAGAGAACUUCUUGAAAAAAGAACUCACACUGUGGGUUGCUGGCUGCUGCGACUUUGAAACCGCGACCCGAUGCGCCGACAACCCACCUCGAUCUUCUUGAGGUCUGCCUUGGAGCAGCAGUAAUCGGUGCAGCCAGCCGGCACCUUGGCGCUCAGCUUGAAGCAGUACUGGUUGUUGCCCUUGGCAACGACAACAUCACCCAGCUUGUAGGCCGAGGGAGACUUCUUGCACUGGCAGUAAGGGAACGAGGUGUACAAGCCCGACUGAGCACCCUGGGCGGCCCUGCAGAUUCAGAACGAAGGGCACACGCGGCACGGAGUUACUGCCAGCGGAGCAAGCGGAGUCUCGGCGACGGGAUAGCCUGCUUGCAACUUGCUGUCAAAUCCGGUGGUGGCGCUACGAUCACUGUUACGCUAUGCUGAAAUCAUGAAAAUAGCCCGAGCAUGCUGUAAGAGCGCCGGUUGCAAGAAGGCCGACCGCAUUCAAGCUGCGCAGCGGACCCACACGACCACUAUUUACGCCGUGAGCGUAAAUGAUUAUCUUUGACUAGAGUCAGCGAUGCUCGUCUAUUCUACAACUCAGGAGCUUCCCGAAGCGACAAAUCUGUGAAACGCGCGGUCUUGCUACUCACGCAAUUGCGGCCGCGAAAAGAACGGAGACUAGAAUGCUGCACCUCAUUGUCACAGAGGUGGUUCAGCUAUAAAGAAAUUGUGAGGCACGCGGGCUUAUCAUGGGGGGCCCGGCUGGUCGAACGAGUCGUACGCCCGCCAUUAACCGCGGGCGCGUUAGUUUGGCGUGCGAUGCAAUCAUUCAUGCAACCGCGCCACUUCGACAGUGCCGGAAACAACUUUUAUUUUUGUGGGUAUGCAUCCGGCUAUUCGGUAGGACAGCAGCUGCGUUACGCUCAAACUCGGGCAAACAAUUGGGCUAGCGGCGUGAGCUUGCACCUCACAACUAUCAUCACACAAGUUAUUUAGAUACUGGCCUACCUUGGGCCAUCUCCAAAACUGCCUGUCCAGCCCGGGAGCGGCGGAGCUGUUUCGCCCGCGGUUUGGAGUGGCUUUACUCGUGCCGACGCAAGUCCUUGAUUUUUGCAUUAUAAAAAAAUUAUAGAGUACAGCUAUAGCAACCAACUUGGCAAUGGAGCUGCUGGCAUGGUCCAAACGCGGGAAGCUGGCGCCUUCUAGGCUCUUUGGAGCCCUGUCGGCUUCACAAGUGGCUGAUGCUCAAGUUGUGCAUCGCUUUGGCCGGACAAAUGUCUCCUAGUAACCCGGUUCACAAGCGAAGCGUGAAACGAAAGCAAAGGAUGCUGCGCGCCGGAAGCGAAACGUUCGAUGCACCUAAUUGGGCGCCAAGCGCGGAACCUUGCAGUCUCAGAUGCGUGUGUGCAUGGAAGGAGAAGGCUGGCGGAGGCGAGAGGAGCGGGGGCAGGGAUUGGCUUUCGUGGGGGGGGCGGGGCAAGUGGCGCGGGCGGGGCUGGGGGGGCGAAGAACGGUGAAGACCGGUGCGAUGGCACAGGGUAAGGGGCAGGUUGGCGUAGUCCCGAGUCCCGAGAAACAACUUACGCCCAACCCAGGCGCCAAUGAAACAGGUGAAGAGCUUGAGGACCCCCCUCCCGCUGUCCGGGCCUUACACACAAGCAGGCCAAGUGCGGGGGGAGCCGUAGCGCACACCAUAUACCGUACUGUCACUGUGCUCGAUUUCGUCGCUAGUGACGCCCCUGCUGGCUAGGGUAGCAAGGGUAAUGGGGGUGAACGAGCCGGUUGCUUAGGCUGUGCCAGCUUUCCCCGGGUUUCAUUGGGGUCACACACUUCACUGAUGCACAACUUUCAGAGCCAGGGGGCUGCAUCCUCCGGCAAGCAGACGCCAGGAGGGUGUCCCUGGCCGCAUGCGCUGGGUCCUGGAGUCUACGGUACGCGUUGCCGCACGCGUCGGUUGGCCAUCCAUUCCCCAUCCUUAGACACAAUGACUGUGUCAUGUGUGCACGUUGCGCUUUAGGCUCGGCCAGCGGCACCCUGGGUUGGGUGUGUGAUGGGUUGGGUCUCGGUUUGAGAGGUGUGACCCUUGCAGAAAGCAGGACUCUCCACACUCCCCUCCCGUGCUGUGCAUGUAUGUUCCUGCAUGCACGUGUGUGUAUGAAGUGAAUGGCUCAGCCAACGGCUGUGUGUGCAUGUGGCCCGCGUAAAAUGCAAUUUACCAGUGAUGGGCACUUCUAUCAGGGAGGGGUAGGAAACAAAGUGCCAGACCCCAUGCCCCGAAAUCCCCCGGGACCCCCCUUGAGGGGACGACCGACCCCCCGACGGACAAAACCUUGUUGUUCAGCGGUUAAAACCCCUCCAUUUAAUACCAAAGUAGUGUCAAUCGACUCCUCUUGACGAGCACUAUCACUCCGUGCCAUCAGCGGUCCUGUUCUGAGACUUCGGUCACGGGCGGGAUCCUAUCCAUGGAAAUCCCCUCGACCCAGACCACCCCGCGCUCAACUCUUUGCCGCGUGACGAAUGGACAAUGUGCAUCGGCAGCCUUGUUAGACGUGAACUCAUGCGCAUCAGCGCUUCAGAGCCCAGCUGUGUCAGUGCGCAUAUGUUGAAUGUGGAGACAUGUCCCGACAUGUCCACGUCCGGACGCGCAACUUAGCCCUCCCACGCUUUGUUUGUGCUUAUUACGUCAUAACGUACACAUAUGAGCCUCGCACUGCUGCGUUUGGCCCCUAGUUCUGCUUGUGGGGCGCUUCCCGAAAUCCGCCAGGAUGGGCUCCCGAAACCCGACGGACCCCCAGGGACGAGGACCGACCCCCAACUUUGGCGGCCCAGAACUUCCUCACCAGACCCCCCUUUAAAAAACUAAAAGUACGUGCAUAAUGCUCUCCUGAAGCUCUCUAAUAUUGAGCAUGGGGUAAGAACCUGAGCUUUCUAACCCCCCCCUGCCAUGGCGGCCACAAUGCCAAGAUGCUACCUGGCGGCGCCACGCACAGCAGAGCCCUGUGCUCCGCAAGGAUGCACACGUGCACACACGCACACACAUGUGCGAACACACGUGCACCUGCCCUCCAUGCCACUCGCCCCGCCCCUUCCCCCUUCCCUCACCUCAGUUAUGGCUGACUGGAUGCGGUUGAUCUCAAACAGCCGGCUGCGCCCCUCCUGGGAGCCGCCGCCGCCGCCGCCAGACAGGAGGUCUGGAGUGCGUGUGAGGAAGGGGAGGGGGGGGAUGUGCCCGAGCCCGAGGUCUCAAGCGUCAAGGAAUUGUUUCCAAACCAGGGGGAGGAAGCGGUAGGGGGGCGCGAAGUGUGAUGUUUGUCGGGGUAAGGUGUGAGGCAUUGGGCAUGGAGCGUAAGGCGGGCAUCAAGGCGGGUAGGGUGUCGGCCUGUGCGCUGUCACCCAAGCCACGGGCGCACCGUUAGCACGCACGCACGCGCACACGCUCACACUACGCACCUGCGGCCGCCUCCUGCCCCUUGCUGGUGGCGCCGCUCCCGCCGCCGCCCCCACCUGCACCCCCAGCAGCCGCCCCGCCCGGCACCGGAGCGCUCACCACCACCUGCGCCUCCGCCGCACCCUCCACCGCUGACUCUGCUCCUGCUCCCCCUCCUGCUGCGGAUGCUUCCGCUGGUAGCUGCACCACUGGCGUGUGCCGUGGAUGCGGUGGGUGCGGCGCCGCCAAGCCAGUCACCGCCGCCACCACCGGCGCCAGCGCCGCCGCCACGGCAGCCGCCGGCUCCCCUCCCGAAAUCCGCCAGACACCCCCUUAAAAAGUUAAAAGUACGUGCAUAAUGCUCUCCUAAAGCUCUGUAAUUUUGAGCAUGGGGUAAGAAACUGAGCUUUCUACCCCCCCCCUGCUUCUAUCAACCGGUUGUGCUUUCGGGGUUACAUGGAAGAGAUUAGGCUGGUGGGGCACAGUGGUGCACGGUGACAGAGACAGCCUUUCUUCCCUGUCUGGGUCAGGGGACAGGUUGUGCCGCCCUCGAGUCCGAAUCAAAUCGUUCUUUGCAGCAUCCCUCUUCAGGAUGCUGAGUGGAGUUGGUGUCGGUAGUAAAGGCCAAGCCCAACGCCCAUUGCGGCAGGGCCCAGGUGUGGGCGGAACGCCCGCCAAGAUGAGACACGAUGAGAGGCACGGCCGAUCGCGCCGAGUUAAGCCAUCACCACGCCCAGUGUUCCGGCCGGUUGUAACAGAUCAACUGUUACGAUCCCUGUUCGAGACAGGGCUGGGCCCUAACUUAUGCCUCUUACGAGUCUUCUAGUGAAUACGCGGUCACCCAAGUCUCAUCCGUUGGACAUCUCCAACCCCUUGCCAGGCUCUACAGUGAGUUAUGUCCGGGGUGGGCUAGGUACUGCUACCCCAGGGGAGAGCCUUCCCUGGCAGAGCCCAGGCCCUGCCGUAUUCCUUACCGGGUCGCACACCCACCGAAGUACCGAACCACGCGUCACGGUCUGGGAAUCAGCUGCACCCUACGGGACUUCACCAACCUGCCUUAACACUGUCCCAUACCACGCGUUACGUUUCUCCACGAUCCGCGGAACGGCGGAAACACGUAUUGACAUGUGUACACCCGCAAGGAGACCGCGGGUGGGUGAGAAUACUGCGCCUGCGCCUGAGAGCCCCGGGGCAAGCUGUCUCAUCCCCGAACGUAGAACUCAUAGAGUGCAGUCUGUGCAAAAGGGAAAGCGAGAUGCAAAGGACGAAGCAGGAGUCGUGUGACGCGUUAGCGUGGAUAAACGCCUGGCGGAUGAGAUCGGACAUGGCAACUUGGAAAUGGGCAGGUUGGUGUUAGUCCUGUGGACCUGAUAUACCCGAGCCGGUUGAGGGCCUCAUGUGCAAAACCGCCAGCGCCGGUCUGCUGGCCUUAUCUGGGUACACGCAGUACCGGUGCGGUAGCUGACGAUGCCAGCGUUAUUGACGAGUGUUGCGGAACUAAUGCGUACGUAGACCAGAGCGGAAGGCGGAGUGGGCUUGCAGGCGGCACGAGAGUAGGCAGUCAGUAGCGCAAGUUGCGAAUUCACAUGUUACCUCGUAACCGACGGUAAACGCUGCGGACGGUCGCGCCCAUGGCUGGCUGACGGAAGGUGGCUGCUGUAUUGGGAUGGCUGGGCUGGACGACGCCGGCCGGGCUGGCGUGCACGAUGUGCACAAACCGUUCCGCCUGCAGAUUGCAGAAAGCCCUGACGCCAGCUGCGCAUCCUGACGGAUGACACGUUGGGGGCUGUCACUCAGCUGCUGACUCGGGACCACCGUGCUGUCCCCUGCCGCAGUUACCGCCGCAGCCUGGCUGGCAUUCAACUUAUGUUGAAAAUUAUAUCAAUAUGACGCGUUCGUACUGUGCCCCCAAACCGGUUUACAGGGGCAACAGGCAAUAGCCCUGCGCACAAACUCCUGCUUCUCACCAGAGCUUUCGCCGUUAUGCACGGCCACGGGAACAAUGGUCCCGGCCAACCACAUCUAUGAACCGUGUCCGUUAGCCUCUCCUGAGGCUUGUAACCGGAACGCGGCUCCGCUGAUUGCAGUCCCAGGAUGACGCUAACCUAAGCAAACAGUCAAUGCGCAUGAUCAUUUACACACACGAGUGCUCUUAUGUACUGCCCAUAUUAAACACAGUCGAGUUGUGGAUCAGUUGCACGAUUCACCGCGCCAGCCCUCGCGGCGGUGCUUCACGCAAUCCGCAUUCAGCUGGUGGCGAGUCGCCAAGCCGCCCCCAACAAAACCCGCACCGCACCAAGUGCCAUGCCGUUUAGACACACGCGCACAACACUAAUCCUGCGAGGCAGUGAUCUCAUCUGUCACUUUGUCAACUACCCAAUCAAGCCAUUUUUCCGAACCCAAUUCAAAACACGCGCCCACGGGCGAAGCUGUGCGCCGUGGCUGUAGCGGCUGCUGCCUCUGCUGCCAACGCCUCACAAAAUCCACCCGUGGCCGUCUGCCACAUAAGCUCCAGCGGUCACCAGCUAUGCUCCGUGCCAGCUCGCGAUAUUGCCAGGCCGUGUGGCCGCAGCAGCUGUUUGCACAGCUGCCGCGAAGCAAGUCCGCUGCCACAAGAACUCAAACAGGGUGGGUCAGCCGCGCGGCUUCCAAGCGGCUUCCACCUUGUGUGUAUGGACACGCGACGCCUCGGCUGCUGCGGGCUGUGCCAUUUACGGCAGGCUCGCCUGGUACAGCGGGCAGCUGCGGGCAAGACACGGGAGGGGUGAGGAAUGGCGGUCAGAUACGUGACAACGUCGAGGCAGAUGUCCGCGGGGAAGUCCGUGGGCGAAGCCUAUUGAUUUAGAUCCCGCAAGACAACCCACAUUGGCAAGUACGUUGUUGCGAGCGUGUCAAUGCAAACCCAACUCACCAGUUCUUGCUGUCGUCGAACAAGUUGCCGUAGCACGAGCCGCCGGGCGCGGGCAGGCAGAAGUCCGACAGGGGGGUGUCGUUCUUCAGCUCCAGGCAGAUAGUACCGCCAUUCGCCUGGUCCUUGCUCCAGUUCAGGGGGGUAGCCUUGACGGUCUGCUCGUCCACAGCGCCCCAGGUGGCGGACAGCCACUUGCCGGUGCCGGUCUUGGGCUGCACGUACACGCCGGUGAUGGCGCGGCGCUUCUUGUCGUCGGCGUAGAACUCGGCCUUGAGCAGGCUGGUGCUCCGGCCGCAGGGGCUGGUGGCGCUGUUGGGGGUCACAAGGGUGAUGCUGAAGCAGUAAGAGGUGGUGUCCUUGGUGCGGCCGGCCAUAGUGGAAAUGACGGGCGUGAAGGCGAAGGGGGUGGCGCCGGGCGUGGUGACGCAAGCGCACUUGGGGAAGUCCACAGGCUCGGGGGCGCAGGCCUGGGACUGGAAGCCGCUCAGGCAAGACGCAUCCGGGGCCUGUGCGGAGCCGCCGAUGCCGCCGACGGCGGCGUAAGCGCUGUAGCCAGUCAGGAAGGCGGGGCAGCCCUGGACGCCGGUGAUCAGCUGCAGCCAGAAGGGCAGGCGCUCAUCGAUGAAGGGCUGCAGCUCGGCGCCCUGCUCCGAUGAGAAGAAGGUGGCGC